Molecule: ribosomal RNA, 253 nt
Filed under: uncultured bacterium
Lineage: Bacteria
Description: partial 16S ribosomal RNA
Rfam family: Bacterial small subunit ribosomal RNA
Source: RNAcentral
UACGGAGGGUGCAAGCGUUAUCCGGAUUUACUGGGUUUAAAGGGUGCGUAGGUGGGUUGGUAAGUCAGUGGUGAAAUACUUUCGCUUAACGAAGGAACUGCCAUUGAUACUAUCAAUCUUGAAUGUAGUGGAGGUAGGCGGAAUGCGUCAUGUAGCGGUGAAAUGCUUAGAUAUGACGCAGAACACCAAUUGCGAGGGCAGCUUGCUACACUACUAUUGACACUGAGGCACGAAAGCGUGGGGAUCAAACAGG